GGGGCUGUUUUUGGAUUUGACAGCGUUGUUCUUUGAAGGUAAGCAUGCCGUGCGUCGGGAAUAGUUAGCACGUAAAACUCCGUUCUCAAUACUUUUACAUGGCGAAAACGCCUAUGCAAUGGCUGCCUAAUCGAUAGAUUACGCUCCAUAGUCUCCCUGGUUCGUUAUACUUCACCUUCCAGCUAAGACUUUGUCGAUGAAGUAUUCUAUAAAGAAAGAGCUGUGCGUCUUUGUAGGAAUUUGCAUAGCUGGGUAGCAGGAAUAGGUUAGUUAAUCACCUUCCGGCUACUGAGAUCUCAAGCAUUGGCUAAGCAUGUAGAAAGCUUUCCGAGCCGGUGCCUGGACCCGGGUUCGACCCCCGGCAGCUCCACUU
This 373-nucleotide transfer-messenger RNA is filed under the name Chitinophagales bacterium. It matches the Rfam family "transfer-messenger RNA". From Rfam's summary of the family: Bacterial tmRNA, also known as 10Sa RNA or SsrA, is named for its dual tRNA and mRNA-like properties. Its role is to liberate the mRNA from a stalled ribosome. Lineage: Bacteria; Pseudomonadati; Bacteroidota; Chitinophagia; Chitinophagales. The record is from RNAcentral.